UGUUAUUAAUAACACCUGUGCUUUUCCUACUAUGACAAGUAAAAUGUCUGCUGGGAAAAAAGGUCUAUAUUGUGGUAAAAAUGCCAAACUUUCAUAGUCAGCAACGACACUACUUUUCCAUUUGGAUUCAGUGAUGUCAGACCAUGUGAGAGAUAUUAUGUUCACCAGUCUCUGCUGAUAUUUGAUCUGAUAGGCUAUUUUGUUUACCUGCUGCACGUGUCACGCCCUUAAUUGGCACAAGCCACACCUGCCUGUUGGUGUUGAGGACCAAGUCGAACUGCUCCCAAAUUUUGUGCUGCAACAACUUGUGGAGAAAAACUGGAUCUGGCCUUGGAGAGGACUCCUUCAGACUUGUAAUGGACGACUUUUAAAGUUUCUUUGGAGUUUUAAUAGACUGGUGAGACGGAUGGCCUAAAUGGAGAACUUCUACAACACAUUGACUCCAUGAAGGACGGACAGUUGGAUGAAGUUUUUCAAGCAGACCUCAAUAAAUGCAUGUUGUUUCCAUUGGACCUUCCUUGUGCGCCUUGGACAUCUGACGGACCCAGUAGAGUCUUUAUUUCCAUAAGAAUCAGCC
Molecule: long non-coding RNA, 577 nt
Organism: Sander lucioperca (pikeperch)
Lineage: Eukaryota; Metazoa; Chordata; Actinopteri; Perciformes; Percidae
Exons: 3
Source: RefSeq, a predicted model, not a curated record